RNAcentral lists this ribosomal RNA (429 nucleotides) under Chloroflexota bacterium. RNAcentral's name for it is "Chloroflexi bacterium partial 16S ribosomal RNA". It matches the Rfam family "Bacterial small subunit ribosomal RNA", at positions 355 to 776 of the family's 1533-position model. Lineage: Bacteria; Bacillati; Chloroflexota. The record is from RNAcentral.
UGGGGAAUAUUGCACAAUGGGCGCAAGCCUGCUGCAGCCAUGCCGCGUGUUUGAAGAAGGCCUUCGGGUUGUAAAGUACUUUCAGUCGGGAGGAAGGUGUCAAGGUUAAUAACCUUGGCAAUUGACGUUACCGACAGAAGAAGCACCGGCUAACUCCGUGCCAGCAGCCGCGGUAAUACGGAGGGUGCAAGCGUUAAUCGGAAUUACUGGGCGUAAAGCGCACGCAGGCGGUUGAUUGAGUCAGAUGUGAAAUCCCCGGGCUUAACCCGGGAAUUGCAUCUGAUACUGGUAAGCUAGAGUCUUGGAGAGGGGGGUAGAAUUCCAUGGGUAGCGGUGAAAUGCGUAGAGAUGUGGAGGAAUACCGGUGGCGAAGGCGGCCCCCUGGAAAAAGACUGACGCUCAGGUGUGAAAGAGUGGGGAGCAAACAGG